GCAAACUUGGUCAUUUAGAGGAAGUAAAAGUCGUAACAAGGUUUCCGUAGGUGAACCUGCGGAAGGAUCAUUACCGAGACGAAGAGCCCCUCCCCCUUUCUCCCCCCCCGAAGGGGUGGAGGGGUAACCCUUCCAAACCCUUUCUGUGUACCUUUACCAUGUUGCCUCCGCGGGGACCGGCGCGGAGGAGACGCCUCAAGGCGCCUUCUCCCUCCGCCUCCGAGGUGGGAGCCGUCCGCGCUUCCCUUGCCUCCAGCUCGCGGAGGGGCCGCAAACCCAAACCUUUUGCUGUGCAAACCGGUCGUAGUCUGUUCAAGCUUCCGAGAGGAAGCGAAAGAAAAAGUCAAAACUUUCAACAACGGAUCUCUUGGUUCCCGCAUCGAUGAAGAACGCAGC
This 396-nucleotide unclassified non-coding RNA is filed under the name uncultured fungus. Its description in RNAcentral is "partial contains small subunit ribosomal RNA, internal transcribed spacer 1, and 5.8S ribosomal RNA". The stretch from base 1 to 73 matches the Rfam family "Eukaryotic small subunit ribosomal RNA", at positions 1759 to 1831 of the family's 1831-position model. The record is from RNAcentral. Lineage: Eukaryota; Fungi.